GGAAGUUAAGAAACUGUUUUUUAAUUUUUAACUAAAAAAACUAAGAACCGGUUUUUAAAGUCUUUAUUUAAAAACCGGUUCUUAGCUUUUUUAGUUAAAAAUUAAAAAACAGUUUUUUAACUUUU
Molecule: microRNA precursor, 125 nt
Filed under: Brassica oleracea var. oleracea
Lineage: Eukaryota; Viridiplantae; Streptophyta; Magnoliopsida; Brassicales; Brassicaceae
Description: MIR9563 microRNA precursor family
Rfam family: MIR9563 microRNA precursor family
Source: Rfam by way of RNAcentral